Molecule: ribosomal RNA, 253 nt
Filed under: uncultured bacterium
Lineage: Bacteria
Description: partial 16S ribosomal RNA
Rfam family: Bacterial small subunit ribosomal RNA
Source: RNAcentral
GACGUAGGGCGCGAGCGUUGUCCGGAUUUAUUGGGCGUAAAGAGCUCGUAGGCGGCUUGUCGCGUCGACUGUGAAAACUCGGGGCUCAACUCCGAGCUUGCAGUCGAUACGGGCAGGCUAGAGUUCGGUAGGGGAGACUGGAAUUCCUGGUGUAGCGGUGAAAUGCGCAGAUAUCAGGAGGAACACCGGUGGCGAAGGCGGGUCUCUGGGCCUUACCUGACGCUGAGGAGCGAAAGCGUGGGUAGCGAACAGG